Molecule: ribosomal RNA, 863 nt
Filed under: Ectopseudomonas mendocina
Lineage: Bacteria; Pseudomonadati; Pseudomonadota; Gammaproteobacteria; Pseudomonadales; Pseudomonadaceae
Description: bacterial SSU rRNA
Rfam family: Bacterial small subunit ribosomal RNA
Source: RNAcentral
GCUUCUCUUGAGAGCGGCGGACGGGUGAGUAAUGCCUAGGAAUCUGCCUAGUGGUGGGGGAUAACGUUCGGAAACGGACGCUAAUACCGCAUACGUCCUACGGGAGAAAGCGGGGGACCUUCGGGCCUCGCGCCAUUAGAUGAGCCUAGGUCGGAUUAGCUUGUUGGUGAGGUAAUGGCUCACCAAGGCGACGAUCCGUAACUGGUCUGAGAGGAUGAUCAGUCACACUGGAACUGAGACACGGUCCAGACUCCUACGGGAGGCAGCAGUGGGGAAUAUUGGACAAUGGGCGAAAGCCUGAUCCAGCCAUGCCGCGUGUGUGAAGAAGGUCUUCGGAUUGUAAAGCACUUUAAGUUGGGAGGAAGGGCAUUAACCUAAUACGUUAGUGUUUUGACGUUACCGACAGAAUAAGCACCGGCUAACUUCGUGCCAGCAGCCGCGGUAAUACGAAGGGUGCAAGCGUUAAUCGGAAUUACUGGGCGUAAAGCGCGCGUAGGUGGUUCGUUAAGUUGGAUGUGAAAGCCCCGGGCUCAACCUGGGAACUGCAUCCAAAACUGGCGAGCUAGAGUACGGUAGAGGGUGGUGGAAUUUCCUGUGUAGCGGUGAAAUGCGUAGAUAUAGGAAGGAACACCAGUGGCGAAGGCGACCACCUGGACUGAUACUGACACUGAGGUGCGAAAGCGUGGGGAGCAAACAGGAUUAGAUACCCUGGUAGUCCACGCCGUAAACGAUGUCAACUAGCCGUUGGAAUCCUUGAGAUUUUAGUGGCGCAGCUAACGCAUUAAGUUGACCGCCUGGGGAGUACGGCCGCAAGGUUAAAACUCAAAUGAAUUGACGGGGGCCCGCACAAGCGGUGGAGCAUG